This 615-nucleotide ribosomal RNA is filed under the name Wolbachia endosymbiont of Torotrogla cardueli. RNAcentral describes it as "bacterial SSU rRNA". It matches the Rfam family "Bacterial small subunit ribosomal RNA", at positions 93 to 743 of the family's 1533-position model. Lineage: Bacteria; Pseudomonadati; Pseudomonadota; Alphaproteobacteria; Rickettsiales; Anaplasmataceae. The record is from RNAcentral.
UAGUGGCAGACGGGUGAGUAAUGUAUAGGAAUCUACCUAGUAGUACGGAAUAAUUGUUGGAAACGGCAACUAAUGCCGUAUACGCCCUACGGGGGAAAAAUUUAUUGCUAUUAGAUGAGCCUAUAUUAGAUUAGCUAGUUGGUAGGGUAAUGGCCUACCAAGGCAAUGAUCUAUAGCUGAUCUGAGAGGAUGAUCAGCCACACUGGAACUGAGAUACGGUCCAGACUCCUACGGGAGGCAGCAGUGGGGAAUAUUGGACAAUGGGCGGAAGCCUGAUCCAGCCAUGCCGCAUAAGUGAAGAAGGCUUUUGGGUUGUAAAGCUCUUUUAGUGGGAAAGAUAAUGACGGUACUCACAGAAGAAGUCCUGGCUAACUCCGUGCCAGCAGCCGCGGUAAUACGGAGAGGGCUAGCGUUAUUCGGAAUUAUUGGGCGUAAAGAGCGCGUAGGCUGGUUAGUAAGUUAAAAGUGAAAUCCCAAGGCUUAACUUUGGAAUUGCUUUUAAAACUGCUAAUCUAGAGAUUGAAAGAGGAUAGAGGAAUUCCUAGUGUAGAGGUGAAAUUCGUAAAUAUUAGGAGGAACACCAGUGGCGAAGGCGUCUAUCUGGUUCAAAUCUGA